AACGAACGCUGGCGGCAUGCUUAACACAUGCAAGUCGAACGAGACCUUCGGGUUUAGGGGCGCCCGGGUGCGUAACCCGUGGGGACCUGCCCUUAUGUUCGGCAUAACUCUCCGAAAGGGGUGCUAAUAACGGAUGAUGUUUCCGGACCAAAGAUUUAUCGCCUUUGGGUGGGCCGGCGUUGGAUGGGGUAGGUGGUAGGGUAAAAGCCUACCAAGGCGACGAGCCAUAGCUGGUCUGAGAGGAUGAUCAGCCACACUGGGACUGAGACACGGCCCAGACUCGUAGGGGAGGCAGCAGUGGGGGAUAUUGGACAAGGGGCGAAAGCCUGAUCCAGCAAUGCCGCGUGAGUGAUGAAGGCCUUAGGGUUGUAAAGCUCUUUUACCCGGGAUGAUAAUGACAGUACCGGGAGAAUAAGCUCCGGCUAACUCCGUG
This 433-nucleotide ribosomal RNA is filed under the name uncultured bacterium. RNAcentral's name for it is "partial 16S ribosomal RNA". It matches the Rfam family "Bacterial small subunit ribosomal RNA", at positions 29 to 507 of the family's 1533-position model. The record is from RNAcentral.